Prionailurus viverrinus (fishing cat) is the source of this 194-nucleotide long non-coding RNA. RefSeq lists it as uncharacterized. The transcript has 2 exons. The record is from RefSeq and is a predicted model, not a curated record. Lineage: Eukaryota; Metazoa; Chordata; Mammalia; Carnivora; Felidae.
UCACCGUGGCAAGGCCGGCAGGACGCGCAAUGCUGCCUGUCCUGCUGAUCCUCUCAGGCCUGGGCCGGCUGACCUCCGCCAGCCAUCAUCCUGAAACAUCACUUCUACAAAUUACAGUGCCAUGGAAGACUGGGGCAAACACUGAUGAUGGCAAAGUUUCUUAAAUGUAUGCAAAUAAGAAAUCAUUCUUUGUA